GACGAACGCUGGCGGCGUGCUUAACACAUGCAAGUCGAACGGAAAGGCCCUGCUUUUGUGGGGUGCUCGAGUGGCGAACGGGUGAGUAACACGUGAGUAACCUGCCCUUGACUUUGGGAUAACUUCAGGAAACUGGGGCUAAUACCGGAUAGGAGCUCCUGCUGCAUGGCGGGGGUUGGAAAGUUUCGGCGGUUGGGGAUGGACUCGCGGCUUAUCAGCUUGUUGGUGGGGUAGUGGCUUACCAAGGCUUUGACGGGUAGCCGGCCUGAGAGGGUGACCGGCCACAUUGGGACUGAGAUACGGCCCAGACUCCUACGGGAGGCAGCAGUGGGGAAUAUUGCACAAUGGGCGGAAGCCUGAUGCAGCAACGCCGCGUGCGGGAUGACGGCCUUCGGGUUGUAAACCGCUUUCGCCUGUGACGAAGCGUGAGUGACGGUAAUGGGUAAAGAAGCACCGGCUAACUACGUG
This 468-nucleotide ribosomal RNA is filed under the name uncultured bacterium. RNAcentral describes it as "partial 16S ribosomal RNA". It matches the Rfam family "Bacterial small subunit ribosomal RNA", at positions 28 to 507 of the family's 1533-position model. The record is from RNAcentral.